RNAcentral lists this transfer RNA (66 nucleotides) under Anolis jacare. RNAcentral describes it as "tRNA-Trp". It matches the Rfam family "tRNA". From Rfam's summary of the family: Transfer RNA (tRNA) molecules are approximately 80 nucleotides in length. Their secondary structure includes four short double-helical elements and three loops (D, anti-codon, and T loops). Lineage: Eukaryota; Metazoa; Chordata; Lepidosauria; Squamata; Anolidae. The record is from RNAcentral.
AGAAACUUAGGAUACUUAAACCAUGAGCCUUCAAAGCUCAAAACAUGGGUUACCCCCAUAAUUUCU